AAGCGAUUCAGUCAGUUUUGGUAUAUAUUACUUUAUUAAAGAUUAAGAAUGUGUUUUAACGGUACCAAUGUACAUAUGGACAAACUAGACCAAAUGCGCAAAAGACUCUGUUUAUUACAGUUUAUCCAGUUACUAUGAUUCAACUACGAAAAAGACGUCAGUCAGUCAAUUUAGUGACGAACCCUACAUCCAGCCAUGUGUCGUGUUUUUACCGUGAGCUGCCGAGCUCGUCUGCUGCCAGGCCACUGCCAGUAGUUUGACCAUCACAAAUUGGAUCAAAACCAGUGACUUUAAUUAACUGAAUGCCAAAAUGAGCUAUUUUUUCGAACUGGGAUACGGCCUAGGGUUGUUCAUUAUCAUUUUCAUCUGUGUGGGUAUCGUCGGUUGCUGUGUAGCUCUCUGCUGCUGCUGUUGCAAGAAAAGAAACCCGCAAAGGCACCAAAAUGUGACUACAGUAGUGUACACACAUCCGUCUUCUUCCCAAAUACCCGUUUCUGGGCCUCAGCCACAGUACCCAGCUUACCAGCCAGUACCUCAGCAAGCACACGGCGUACCUUACAUGACAGCACCUCCACCAUCAUACCAGGAAGCUACUGAUCCAGCUCUCUUGCCACACAACCCAGGGAUGAUGUUCCUCCACCCCAGUCAGCCUUCUGGGCACUCAGACGUGCACACACAGUUGCCCUACAAUCCUGCUUUUUACCCAAACACAGCCUCAUUUAACCAACCUGUCAAUAAGUACUGAGUACCACUAGAUGGCGCCACCGUGUUAUGCAUUCCAUUGCAUUCCGCCACCUUCUUAUGCAUUCCAAACAGUCACAAAAGGGUCAAACCUGCUGAUGGUGCUGUAGCUGUGAAGAAAAAUGCCCUCAUAAAUAAUGUUUUGUUUACGUAUUGCUUGCAAUCAAUCGAUAUAGGAUUGAUUUACACAAUUGUUGGUCAAUCCACACACAAAGCUUAAGAAAUGAAACUAUUGCCGUGGCCUUGAUUAUUGAUACUGUUAAACAUCACUAUUUAAGGUCAGUAAAGGUCAGGUCAGUAUAGAACAGCUUUUAUGCACUGUGUAAAAAAUAUUAUUGAUGUCUGUCUGCCUGUGCUAAAGUGAGUUAUGAUAUGGAGAUUUGUAGUUUGGUAUGAUUGUGUCAAUUAUGGCUAAAACAUGUACCGUAUUCUGUAUGUCUGCAGCAUGGGAGGUGGGGCUUGAUGGAAAUUCUCAUAUCAUGAAGGAUCAAAAGCCAAAUACUUUUCUACUGUUUUUUAAUAGGUUUGUAAAACACAAGCAUUAUGUCUUAAAUAGUUCCCAUAAUGCAAUAAAAAUGUUAUUCCCUGCAGUGGGAUGAAACUGCAGUGUUCUGUUCCCGUUCUUCCUUUGGGAUCAUGUGUGGUUGAAUAGCUUUAGUGGGUGUGCUUGCAUUUAAUCCCAUAAUGUCCAGGGCCACUCCCUCUUAUUGCAUCCCCCGCUGUCCAUUAAUCAAUACAGUAUUAGUGCUGACCCCACAAAAUUCCUUUUCCUCUUUCUUUUUUUUUGCCUUUCCUCCUGCUGUCUGGUCAAUGUAAACACAAAGACAGGGCGGUGCUCCUGUGUAUCAGAAAUUAACAUUUUGAUCUGGUUUUAGAUGAUUUAUUCAGGGCUCUUGAGUGAACCAGUGAGCGCUGCGUGGGAGCAGCUGCUGACAAAAGUCAAAACUCCCCAGUGAAUGCCGUUGCCCACAGCCAAGAUGCUCCAAAGAGAUACGUGCCAAACUCCCACACAUACUUGAAAAGACAAACACAUUUGUCACAAUAUUGAGUGUAUAUUUUGAUACAAUAAAAAACAACAACAAUUGGUUCCUUUGACAAAGAAAGUUUCAGCUAAAAAAAAGAGUCAAAAAUACUGAGCUUUGGUUUGUGCAAAUGAAUAAAGUCAGAGUGCCACUCAUGCUUGUCCUCUAAGCAGGUAAUUAAGGUCAUUCCACAGUUUAAACCUGUUAAAGGAGUUUCUGUUCAUUUCUCAUGACAACUAAACCAAUAUUUUACAUGGGCAGAUUUGUCUUUGCAAAAAUAUGCUUAAAUAUUACAUUAAAUAGCACCAGUUUUAAAAUAUGCAUUCAGUAUUUUGUGAAAUUUCUAAUGAGUUAAUUAAAAAAAACAACUUUUUGGUCAUUUUUUGUUUAAUAGACACAUUUUAUUUAUUUAUUUACAAUGGCCUGAUUAUUUGUCAGAAUUCCAUUAGAUUUCUAUUUAGUUUAUUUGAGAUUGUGUCCACUAACUAGAACUGUCUUUGAGAAAAUAAGUUUUUCCUUGUUUGUAACACUAUUAUAUCUGUAUCAGUCUUUUUCUGUUGGCAUAUUUGGAUUAGUUUAAGUUUGAAAGUUAUGUCUUAAUAUAAAGUGUGAACAGUGAGAACUUCUCUUUCAAUUACAUUUCUCUAACCUGACUGAGCUAUUACAUCAGCUGUGUGUUUUGACGAAUAUUCACGUUUAUUAUCUAUAAAUCUUAGUUUAAAAAAAUAAAAAUAAUCGGACGUCAUCCUUAAACGCGUCCAUCUAGGAACCGUUACUAAUUACCCGGUACAUUUACAGGUUGACCCGCAAAAGCGAUUCAGUCAGUUUUGGUAUAUAUUACUUUAUUAAAGAUUAAG
RNAcentral lists this long non-coding RNA (2620 nucleotides) under Takifugu rubripes (torafugu). RNAcentral describes it as "lncRNA (ENSTRUG00000032229.1)". The record is from RNAcentral. Lineage: Eukaryota; Metazoa; Chordata; Actinopteri; Tetraodontiformes; Tetraodontidae.